CCUGAGAAGAGCCUGCCUGGGAGGGGAUGAACAGGCCAGGGGCUUCACCCUCUACCCCGGGAUAACCUGCAUCGUGACCUCUCCAUUUACUCCUCAUCCACCCUACCCUAAACUCCCACAUCAGCCCAAACUUAAGCAGGCGCCCCAGCCCGGGGCCUGGCCCCUUCUCACUCCCCACGGUUUCCCUCUUACCCCUGUUUCCUGGCCUCUCAGGCCCCUAGCUCUAAUCCCCCCAGGCAUCAGGACGAGCAUCGAGUGACCUCAUGCUGAUGACUCAGCAAGUCUCCUUCUGGGCUCUGGCAAGCGUGUGACGGAGCGAAGCCGGAGCGGGCAGGGUCUUCCCAGCACCCCCCCCCACGUGCCGCUUCCUCCCCCUAGCCAGCCGAGGACCCUGAGCCUGGGAGGCGUUGACACAGACACCUGAUGAAUCAGCAGCUCAGGCUGGGGCCGCCGAGCUCUUCCACGGAGCCCUGGGCGCCCCGCUCGACCCCACCCUUUCCUCCCGCCACCCCGGCCGUCCCUCCCUCCAGGACUCCCCGGCUUCACCGAGCAAGACCAGCGCACGCCCCACCCCGCCCCUGCGGGCCCGCGCGCCCACCCCAGCACCCCCGGCGGAGGGACCAGGAGCCGCUCCGGACCGGAACAGUGGCCUGGCACACAGGAGACCCAUACGCUCCCAGAGGUGAAGGGCUUGUCCAGGAUUCAAAACUUAGGUCUGCUCAAGGCCGCCUCCAAGAUCCUCUGUGUAGUGUGGUCUGUCUUCACGCAACAUCCCAAGAGCUCACAUGAGUGACAAGGACUCAGGCGGUUCCUGGAACGAGUCCGGCUCAGGCAUCUGCCUGGAACUCAAGUCACUGGUCCAUGUCUGCUCCUGCACUUUCUAUAAGGAGUUCUCACUGCUGUUCAAAAUUCCUAGAGAAAGAGGUGACGAAAAGAAGGGAAAUUGAAGGGAUCCAAUUUCUACUUUGACUUACCUUCUCAAGUGUAAAGCCAGGAAGGGUGAUCUACCCUGCCAAGCAGUACACGGGCCUCUCACUUGUGGCCUCUCCCGUUGCGGAGCACAGGCUCAGGACGCGCAGGCUCAGCGGCCAUGGCUCACGGGCCUAGCCAUUCCGCGGCAUGUGGGAUCUUCCCGGACUGGGGCACGAACCCGUGUCCCCUGCAUCAGCAGGCGGACUCUCAACCACUGCGCCAAUAGGGAAGCCCAAGCCCUCAACUUUUAUUGUACUAAAUCACAAAGACUUGCCCCUGAGGCCAAGAAAGGGGUCCUUUUGGAUCUCUAGCAUCCUCACCACCAGCUGCUGGCUCCUUCUGGCCUGCUCUGCUCAGGUCUGUGCUCACACUUGCAGGGGUUUCCCCAGGUGUCAGUCCCUGCAGAACACCAGAGACCUCAUAGCUUUCUCCCCGCAUCACACCCCUUCUCAGGCCCGUGUGGCUCUGCCCCACUUCCCCACAUCUGGCCUUUGGUGGUUGGGACCAAGGCUCACAUUCCUGCCUGCUGAAACCCAGUGUGUUUUUCACGGGGUGGCUCAAAGCCCACCGCAAAGCUCGUCUGGACUCCUGUGCCUCCUCCCAGGCUGUGACGUGUGAUUCUUCACUUUAGAGCCACCUCCUGGCUUCCUCCAGACCCCAGACCCAGGGCACAUGUGGGAGCAGCAUGCCCCCCUUGUCUUAUUGGUCAGCACCUGCCACACACAGCAGGCACUCAAACAGUGAGACUGGCCUUGACUUAAGGGAACAGUCAGGGGGAAGCUUUGGUCCUGGGCAGAUGUGUGGCCUUUGGGACAAUCUCUUCUGGGACAUCUUUUCCCCAGAGGGAGGGUGCCAGGGUCUCCCUGCACUGCCAAGUACUUUGCCAGGGGAGGCCCACAGCCCACCUCAUGCCAGCUUCUAUCCACCAGCAUGGUGGCCUGUGCCAGGGGCUUAUGCCUUAGGAGGGCCCUGUAGGGGCUCUAGGCCCCGUGAGGGCCUUGGGCAGUCAGUACAUGGGGUGUGACCUGGACUCUGGAGGCCACCCUGGCAGGGGCAAGGGUAUGUGGUCUUGCCCCUCACUUGCUCUGUUUUUCGUCUCCUGUAGAUUUGGAAGGUCGGGUCCUUGUCCGCAGAGUGCUCCCUCCACCUACCCCGCUUGCAUCAGGCCUUGGUUCUAAGUGGACCCAGGGGAAGGAAAUGAACUGGACUUGAGACCUUGCAAUGUAGUUCCUGGAAAACCUCUGCCCAGGGGCUCUCCUGGUCCCCUCCCCUGCCCCUCCUGGGACCCAUCGCUUCACCUGGGUGCCCCCUGCCAACACCCUACAGACACCCAGCCCCGCUCCUCUGAUAUACUCACCCGUGUGUGUGUGUGUGUGUGUGUCUUACUGUUUCUAUGCUCAGUAACUGUUGAUCAAACAAAUGUCAGCCCUCCUGGCCCCAUAAAGGGUUCUGACCUAGCAGCUCCUUUGAUCUUGUGGGCCUCCUGUGAUGGUUAAUUUUACAUCAACCUGUGGGCCAUGGGGUGACCAGAUAUUAUUGUUUCUGUGAGGGUGUUUUUGCAUGAAAUUAACAUGUAAAUCGGUAGACUUCAACAUGAGACCAAAUUAACAUUCUAACCAAUAAAGCAGAUUGCCCUCCAUAUGUGGGUGGGCAUCACUCAAGCAGUUGAAGGCCUGAAUAGAACAGAAGACCAACCCGCUGCAGAGUAAGACAGAAUUCUCCAUCAGUCUGCCUUCAGACAUCACCUGCAACAUCAGCUCUCCCUGCCUGAUGGCCUUUGAAUCGAAAUAUUGGCUCUCUCCAGGUCUCCAGCCUGCCUGCUAGCCUCCAUAAUUGUGUGAGCCAACUCCUUAUA
Mesoplodon densirostris (Blainville's beaked whale) is the source of this 2827-nucleotide long non-coding RNA. RefSeq lists it as uncharacterized. The record is from RefSeq and is a predicted model, not a curated record. The transcript is spliced from 4 exons. Lineage: Eukaryota; Metazoa; Chordata; Mammalia; Artiodactyla; Ziphiidae.